ACAAUAGACUACCCUGGUAGUCCACGCCCUAAACCGAUGCGAACUGGAUGUUGGGCACAUUACGGUGCUCAGUGUCGAAGCUAACGCGUUAAGUUCGCCGCCUGGGGAGUACGGUCGCAAGACUGAAACUCAAAGGAAUUGACGGGGGCCCGCACAAGCGGUGGAGUAUGUGGUUUAAUUCGAUGCAACGCGAAGAACCUUACCUGGCCUUGACAUCUGUCGAAUCCUGCAGAGAUGCGGGAGUGCCGCAAGGAACGACAAGACAGGUGCUGCAUGGCUGUCGUCAGCUCGUGUCGUGAGAUGUUGGGUUAAGUCCCGCAACGAGCGCAACCCUUGUCCCUAGUUGCCAGCACGUAAUGGUGGGAACUCUAGGGAGACUGCCGGUGACAAACCGGAGGAAGGUGGGGAUGACGUCAAGUCCUCAUGGCCCUUACGGCCAGGGCUACACACGUACUACAAUGGUCGGUACAGAGGGUUGCGAAGCCGCGAGGCGGAGCCAAUCCCGAGAAAGCCGAUCCCGAGUCCGGAUUGG
Molecule: ribosomal RNA, 532 nt
Filed under: uncultured bacterium
Lineage: Bacteria
Description: bacterial SSU rRNA
Rfam family: Bacterial small subunit ribosomal RNA
Source: RNAcentral